Long non-coding RNA from Perognathus longimembris pacificus (Pacific pocket mouse), 102 nucleotides. RefSeq lists it as uncharacterized. The record is from RefSeq and is a predicted model, not a curated record. NCBI's taxonomy places the organism in Eukaryota, Metazoa, Chordata, Mammalia, Rodentia, Heteromyidae. The transcript has 3 exons.
GGGCUCUCAGUUCCUGCGAGUUCUGUGAGCCCCAGCAUGCUGGUCCUGCAACAAACCCUUUGCUUUUGCAUGAGAACGUCUCUUGGUGCUUUCCUUGCCCUG